GACGAACGCUGGCGGCGUGCCUAACACAUGCAAGUCGAACGAGACCUUCGGGUCUAUUGGCGCACGGGUGCGUAAGGCGUGGGAAGCUGCCCUUGGGUUCGGAAUACCAGUUGGAAACGCCUGCUAAUACCGGAUGAUGGCGUAUAUCCAAAGAUUUAUCGCCCAAGGAUGAGCCCGCGUAGGAUUAGCUAGUUGGUUAGGUAAAGGGUCCCCACGGGGACGAUCCUGAGCUUGUCUGGGUGGAGGAUUAGCCACACUGGGACUGAGACGCGGCCGGGACUCCUACGGGAGGCAGGAGUGGGGAAUAGUGGAACGUGGGCGAAGGGAUGAUGGAGCAAGGCCGGGUGAGUGAUGAUGUCAUGAGGGAUGUAAAGCUUUUUUAACUGGGAUGAUAUUGACGGUACCGGGAGAAUAAGCGCCGGCUAACUACGUG
Molecule: ribosomal RNA, 433 nt
Filed under: uncultured bacterium
Lineage: Bacteria
Description: partial 16S ribosomal RNA
Rfam family: Bacterial small subunit ribosomal RNA
Source: RNAcentral